GGAGCAUGUGGUUUAAUUCGAAGCAACGCGCAGAACCUUACCUACCCUUGACAUGGGUAUCGCGGGACCGGAGACGAUCCUUUCAGUUCGGCUGGAUACCACACAGGUGCUGCAUGGCUGUCGUCAGCUCGUGUCGUGAGAUGUUCGGUUAAGUCCGGCAACGAGCGCAACCCACAUUUUUAGUUGCCAUCAUUCAGUUGGGCACUCUAGAGAAACUGCCGGUGAUAAGCCGGAGGAAGGUGUGGAUGACGUCAAGUCCUCAUGGCCCUUACGGGUUGGGCUACACACGUGCUACAAUGGUGGUGACAAUGGGUUAAUCCCAAAAAGCCAUCUCAGUUCGGAUUGGGGUCUGCAACUCGACCCCAUGAAGUCGGAAUCGCUAGUAAUCGCGUAACAGCAUGACGCGGUGAAUACGUUCCCGGGCCUUGUACACACCGCCCGUCACACCAUGGGAGUUGGAUCUACCCGAAGGUGGUGCGCCAACC
This 485-nucleotide ribosomal RNA is filed under the name uncultured Alphaproteobacteria bacterium. RNAcentral's name for it is "bacterial SSU rRNA". It matches the Rfam family "Bacterial small subunit ribosomal RNA", at positions 934 to 1440 of the family's 1533-position model. The record is from RNAcentral. Lineage: Bacteria; Pseudomonadati; Pseudomonadota; Alphaproteobacteria.